Molecule: ribosomal RNA, 468 nt
Filed under: uncultured bacterium
Lineage: Bacteria
Description: partial 16S ribosomal RNA
Rfam family: Bacterial small subunit ribosomal RNA
Source: RNAcentral
GACGAACGCUGGCGGCGUGCUUAACACAUGCAAGUCGAACGGAAAGGCCCUGCUUUUGUGGGGUGCUCGAGUGGCGAACGGGUGAGUAACACGUGAGUAACCUGCCCUUGUCUUUGGGAUAACUUCAGGAAACUGGGGCUAAUACCGGAUAGGAGCUCCUGCUGCAUGGUGGGGGUUGGAAAGAUUCGGCGGUUGGGGCUGGACUGGCGGCUUAUCAGCUUGUUGGUGGGGUAGUGGCUUACCAAGGCUUUGACGGGUAGCCGGCCUGGGAGGGUGACCGGCCACAUUGGGACUGAGAUACGGCCCAGACUCCUACGGGAGGCAGCAGUGGGGAAUAUUGCACAAUGGGCGGAAGCCUGAUGCAGCAACGCCGCGUGCGGGAUGACGGCCUUCGGGUUGUAAACCGCUUUCUCCUGUGACGAAGCGUGAGUGACGGUAAUGGGUAAAGAAGCACCGGCUAACUACGUG